Molecule: long non-coding RNA, 2039 nt
Organism: Anguilla rostrata (American eel)
Lineage: Eukaryota; Metazoa; Chordata; Actinopteri; Anguilliformes; Anguillidae
Exons: 2
Source: RefSeq, a predicted model, not a curated record
AUAGAGGACACAUUAGCCUUCUGUAAAUUAUGAAUUUGUUUGCUUUUUUCGUUUGACCUUAACCUUUAUGUACAUGUCCAUGAGAGUUUCCCAGUUUCUGAGCUGUGGUUAUUAGCCAAGAAGACGGUUCGCCAGGAACUCUAGGUCAUUUCAAUAGAAGUUGAUGCGCCUAAUCCUUCCCGGAGCAAUUCCAUUAACCGUGCUGUUCAACAGAGACAGCAGGCAGAUUAUUGCCUGGUAGAACAUUUGAAUCCUUCUAGAAUGAAAAUCAGAUGUGGAUUUGGAGCGAAGUCCAGAGCCAGACGCAAGCUUAGAAUCAAGAGCCAGAAUCACGAGAAGAGGUGGACCGGGAGAACAGCCCUCAUAAUUUAGAAACAGGAAGGAAUGCUGCCACAGGUGACUUUCCAUCAAAGGCGAUCUCAUUUUUAGCUCGCACCACCCGUCUUGCAAUUUCUGCCGUUCGUCCAAAUCAGACGGAAGCGUGGCGUGAGAGAGGUAAUGAAGAAAUACAAGAGUGGAUGUGGAGCAAGAACACUUAAAUCUGCUCUCUUCUGGUGGAGCAAACAACAUAAAUAUCCCCUGAAUUUCAGGGCCUGGUGAAUGAGUACGCUGACACAGUCUAGUGCUAGGGUACGAUUCUGCAAUUUCAUUUAAGGGAUGCAACAUGAUUAUGGAUGUUAUACGCGGUACCGAUACAAUUGUAUUUUAUUGUGCCCGCACUGUUUUUGUUCCAGGGGUUUAAUGGAAGUCAGUUUAAUUAGGAACAGCAUGGCUGAGCUGGAGCCAUUGCAACAUUUUUGCGCUCUGGUGGACUUUAUGUAGCGCCUCACCAUGUGAGAUAUAGAAAUAGAGGGGGCAAGGAAGUAAAAUCAAAUAUAUUUGGAAGUAUCUUUUUUCCUUACUAUUGUCUUAAUAGUACUAAUUUUUCAUCAACACAGUUUUGACAUAGAAUGUCCUUUGAGUCAAAUAUUUUGCUUGAAUAGAAUAUUCCCUUUGAAGUUCAUUGAAAGUAUCUGGGUUUUAUACUGACUUGCCUUAACAAUGACAUCAAAAAUACCACACAAACUGACAUUAAGAAACUUUUAUUCACUGUUGCUGUUAUUGCUGUUUAAGUGAAAAAGAAAAUCUCUAACUAUUUGCAGGCAUUAGAGUCCCUCCAAACGUUUUAACAGACUUGUGCAGAUGUUUUGAUGUGAAAUCAAUAUGUUUAUUCUUGCUUUGACCAACUGGAUUAAAAAAAACAUAACAGAGUGAAUAAAUUAAGUGGUCAUUUUGGUUUCUUCAUCUCCUGAUGGUACAGCAAUCAGGAUCCAUAUUGACUUGGCUAGCCAAAAAGAUGGAGCAAUAACUGGAAAAGUAGGACAUUUUUUCAACUGUUUGUUUUUCAUUAAAAGCCCAGAUUAUGAGUUUGUACAACUAAUUUUAUUAUUCAAAAUGACUCAGCGGCCAAGGUCUCUGAGAUAAACUUCCAGUUCAUUGCACAUCAUGUGCUCUCCUGGGUUUGUUGGUUCAUUUAUUGGCUUGGUAAGCAGAUUUGUUGAGUCAAAAAUGGGUAUACUUCUGGGAUAAAGUUCAUGUUGAUCAACAUUUUGAUCUUUCCCCUGUUUAAUUUCUGUUCUUCCUCUUCUUGUCUCUAACUCCCUCUUCUGCCCCUGCAUGUCAUCCUCGAAAUUAUCCACCCACUCUCAGGCUCCAUCCAAUCAAAAUGCAGGAAAGCCUUGUGACUGUGACACAUCACUCUGUUUCCUCACAGAUGUUCACAGAGCAGAAACACACCCUUCAGAAUAAUGGAAGUGUUACCAGUUAUUCUGUGCUGGAGAAUAACGCAUAGCGCAUUCUUAACAAGUAAUGACAUGCUCAUUUAGUUGCCAAAUGGCUGAAUAAUCCAUUAACACUAAAAGACCGAAAGUCUGUCAUCUAAUUUAAUAUUCUCUUAAUGGUUUUGCUAGGCAUUUUUUAAUUGUUUUGUGUUAAUCUCCAUCCUCCAUUCUGUGUUGCAGACUGUAAUGGUGAGAAAAUAAAGUCAAUGUCAAACGAAA